RNAcentral lists this transfer RNA (72 nucleotides) under Dallia pectoralis (Alaska blackfish). RNAcentral's name for it is "tRNA-OTHER". It matches the Rfam family "tRNA". Rfam says of the family: Transfer RNA (tRNA) molecules are approximately 80 nucleotides in length. Their secondary structure includes four short double-helical elements and three loops (D, anti-codon, and T loops). Further hydrogen bonds mediate the characteristic L-shaped molecular structure. tRNAs have two regions of fundamental functional importance: the anti-codon, which is responsible for specific mRNA codon recognition, and the 3' end, to which the tRNAs corresponding amino acid is attached (by aminoacyl-tRNA synthetases). tRNAs cope with the degeneracy of the genetic code in two manners: having more than one tRNA (with a specific anti-codon) for a particular amino acid; and 'wobble' base-pairing, i.e. permitting non-standard base-pairing at the 3rd anti-codon position. The record is from RNAcentral. Lineage: Eukaryota; Metazoa; Chordata; Actinopteri; Esociformes; Umbridae.
GUUGGUGUAGCUCAGUGGUAGAGUGCAUGUUUGGUAUGUAUGAUUUCCUGGGUUCAGUCCCCAGCUUCUCCC